UGGGGGUUGGGAGGGUGGGUGGGAUUUUGUAUUUGUAUUUUUAUUUAUUUUAUUUCAUUGUUUUUAAUGUGCCACAUUAUAUGUAUGAAAAGUGCUUUAAAAAUAAAGUUUAAUUGAGUUUGAUUGAUGAAUAAAGGGGGGGCCAUCUCCUCAUCUUUAAAGUGAAACACCCUGCUGUAUAUGUGGCUGUGAAAAUAUAAAUAAAGUUCCCAAUGCAUUAGAAAGAUCCUUAACACCAAAGUUGAGCCAAAAUAACUCGAGGCCAUCAGAGAUAUAUAAAUAUUUUCUCCAAGGAUGUGUCUGUAUACAGCAAAAAAAAAUUACGUUUUGUUUCAAGUUUCUCUAUUUGAUGUCUGACCACUAGAGAGCAGCACCUCACUAGUUUCCAACUAUCUUUUUUAACUGGGCUUGUGCACGCUUUAUAAAAACACAGGUGUUUGAAUUCAUAAGAGACAUGCUGAAGAUUACUCAAAGAAAUAAAAACUCCAUUAACAUUCUCUGAACACUUUUACUGACAGAAUCAAUCUGUUUUAUUUUUUGAGUUUAUCUAAAAUAUAAAUGCAUAAGUUUUCAAUAAGUCUUAUGUAAUAGCUUAUGUUUUUUCUUAUUACAACAGCUCAUUUAAAUGCAAAUAAGUGGUAAGAAAAGGGACCUGCUUUGAAAUAAGGUGAUGUGUAGCAUACUAAAUUUAUUGUGUCAGGCGAAAGCAGACACUGAAUUUCUUGUGUGACAUUUUCAAAGCCACUCAGAGAUCAGAGCUAACCAAUUAAAGAUGUUAUUCCUCAGCUGUGUCUGAACACACACGCCUACCUUACUGCCACCAUGAAUCACGUCACUUUGAUGUCAUGUGAAAUUGAUGAGUCCUGGAUGAAUAAAAAAGCUAAUGUUCCCCACCUUCAUUUUGCGUCUUUUGUGGCAUGCAGCACAUCUGAGUUUCAAUUUCAUGAUCUUCAUCCCAUUUCUAUAAAUGAGAAAAUUCUCAUUCAUCUCACACAUGGGGCACAUCUUGUGUUUUGUUCGAUUACUCCUCACUUCUUGCGGACAUCUCUUGUUUCGUUUCAUGUUGCAACCUCAAACGGGCUUUUCAUUAAUCUAACUCAUUUCACACCUCAUGCUCUGUAUCACCACAGACACCUCUCUUACAAAAGGUAGCUGCAGGGUUCUGGCCAGUGUACUUCUUUCCUCCAUUUAAUUACACUGUUACACAAUUUCUUACUGGCUGUCUGGAUUCAAAUGGGCAGACUUUGCAAGAACAGAAUCUCACCUUUUUUAAUGUGAAGGCUCAUUUAUUGCAGCAGCCAGUCUGGUUUUAUUUUUAACAGCAUCUCUUAUGCACAGCAGAGGUCAUGCAGAAUAAAUGUGGAUCCAUCACUUUGUGUUUAACCUCACACAUGUGCGUUUUACAUGGACUGAGGGUCUAUUUAUGCAAAAGUAAAGCAACAGAAUCAAAAGUAAGUUUGAAGCUUUGCAUGAGUUAACUUCACAGACUUGGCUGCUCCAUGCGGUCUGAUGGUGGAUUUAACAUCAGUAUUACACAUGCCUUUGACAGUUAAUAACUGAUUAGACAAGGGCUCCUCUGUGAAGUUUGUGAUGUGUGUGUGUGACUGUGGUCGUGUGGGAUUAAAGGGGUAUUUCAGCAUUUUUUGAGUGUGGUUAUAGAGUUGCAUGUCACUAUAGGUGGGCUAGCCACAACGGUUGCUGGUCUGCUUAGUCCUUGUAAUAGAGAUGGGCACUGCAGUUUUUUUAGAUGUACUGAAUCACUAGAAUCAGUUCACUAAAAAGAUUUGUUCAAAAGAUUCAUUCGCCAAAUCACUGAAUCAUGUAGUGCCUGGCAAGAGGCCUGCAACUCCGACCUCCUGAACUGAUACACAGCUGAACGUUCAGGAUUCCGCUUCUGAGACCGAGAGACGGGAGUUUUGGGCUGUCGCUUUGGCAAACAGGUUUGUAAAAGUGAAUUUGUUUAUAAGUCAUGAUUUUUUAAGUGUACUGUACUACGGUAUGCUAUUUAUCAGGUCUGCUCGGUGAAUUGGGCUCAGUGAGUGAUUCGUUUGAUUAAUUGUAUUUUCGAUUUUAUGUUUUUUCUAGUCAUGUUUUUCUUCAUUUUGAUUAUUGUGCUCAAGUGUUUUUUUUAUGCUCCCUUUGUUGCAAAACCAAUUGCCCCAUUGGGGGACGAAUAAAGUUAUUGAUCGAUUCAUUGGAAAAGAAGUCUGUCGCUUAAUUUAUUUUAUUUUAUCAUUUUUAAUCAAAUUUUUGUUCUCUCUUUUGCUGAAUUAUUGUUAUACAUUGUCAUAUCUAUGGCUUUGCUGCAUUACUACUAUGUAUGAAAUGUGAACUGGAAAUGCUGAAUUUUGUUGUUAAUAUCAUUUUUAAUUAAGUUGUGAAAAAACUAGAAAAAGAUAUCCUUGUCCCAAACGGCCAAACGAGCUCAGAUUCUUUUUGUUAGUUGAUAGUUUUUCUCCAGUUUUUGUUAUUUACCGUUGUUGCACCCCGAGGAGGUAAUCAUUCUUUGUUAUAUAAUCAUCCUGUUUUUCUUUUUUGGUAAAUAAAUUACUCCUUUGUAAAAACUUAGAAAGCUUUUUACGUGGCUGUUUGGGAGGUGGGUGAAAUGGGUCCACUUUCAUUUUGUUUUCUUUGCUUCUUCUAGAUGGGUCAUAGUAACAGAAACCCAUGCCAAAAAUAGUGAAACACCCCUUUAAGUUCAGAUGUGUGACCAAAUAUGAUCAUCUGCUUCAGCCCUGAGGAAAAUGUGCCAGCUCAUGCAUCCAGCUGUCUGCCCCAUUGCUUUUAACCUUAGUGCCGCCAUGUCUAAUAUUCACUUUUAAUGAUAACAGGAUAUGAGGAGCAGGUGUCUGAUGAUUGAUUGCAGUGAUUUUCCAAGGACUUAACCUCACCUAUUGUGAGGAAAACCAGACGUAUUAAAUCGUGGUUUGAAUAAAGCUGUGUGGGGCCGAUGACCAUGACUACUGCGAUUCAAAAGAUAUGUUGUGAAUUAGAAGGAUUUCAAAAAUGCCAUAUCAAGCGGUGAGAGUUGACAGCUCGGAGAAAAGCAGGGUGGUUGAAAUUCGAGACAAAUUGGGUUCUUUUCACUUGCUAUUGAGAUAAGCAGGCAGCAGGAUAGAUUAAAAUUAAUAACUUCAGGGGAGAGAGCAAAGCGAGGGCAGAAAUGUGGAAGUCAGAACAGAUUUUUAUGAGCUCAUUUGUCACUGCGAAGUCAAAACUCAAGAUCAGAGAAAUGUGUGGAAAUACAAAUAAAGAGCUGAUAGAAAAGGUGCAAGGCGAUUGAAAUCUAAUACAGGAUAUCUAAAAGGCAACAACUAAUACUUAAAAUAAAAAAACCUCUCCUUAGUCAAAGGAAGGCUUAUCUUCAGUCUGCAGGUAUUCUCACAAAUCUUCCUCUCCUUGUAUCAAACCCACAUCUCUCCAAAUCUCCUACUCCUCUAACUGAAGGGUUGUGGUGCCUUUCUUCUGAAUGCCUCUCUCUCAGAUGGCCUCGUCUGUCUACCAGACGUUGUUAGUCAGCUCAGCUUUCAUGGAGGUUUUUUUUUUCUUUCUGAGUUUUUGUACUGGAUGAAAAGCUCAUUUUGUGGCUUUGGAUCAAAUUUUGAGUCUCUAUUUUAUAUGAAUGACUCAUUGACGGAGAAUUCAAAGCACUGAUUUGACGUCAAUGCUAACCCCAGGACGCCAUCAGACUCAUUGUUUCUUCUUUAAAAUGCGAGGAGGAUUCAUUGUCUUAUUCUCUGUGGAAUAAUAAACAUGUUUUCACUAAUUGUUUGUCUACAGUAGCUGAAUAAAACACCGUCUGUAGACUAAAAUCACAAACGUAUAACUUUUUAUUGAGCAAUAAAAUUAAUUUGCCACUUCUUAGACUUUUGGAUUUAAAGUAAGAACUAUUCAUUACAACCUACUUAUUAUUCUUGCUUAUUACCCGAGUGUGUUAAAUACUUGAUUCUGAUUGGUCAACACCAUAGACUCUGUAUACUAUGGACAACUUGGUUCCGCCUCCCGCCUGUAUACGUAUUUGAGGCCAAAAAGCUCUCGGUAUUUUUCUUCACUUCCUGAAACCAGCGCUGCGCAGUAGCGUUGUGCGCAUUCGGCUGGAGAGUCGCCAAGAGUCGCUGUGAUGACGCUCGGCUCAAACAGCGUAUCC
This is a non-coding RNA of Xyrichtys novacula (pearly razorfish), 4147 nucleotides long. The record is from the annotation of a GenBank genome assembly. Lineage: Eukaryota; Metazoa; Chordata; Actinopteri; Labriformes; Labridae.